This 181-nucleotide unclassified non-coding RNA is filed under the name soil metagenome. RNAcentral's name for it is "partial contains 5.8S ribosomal RNA, internal transcribed spacer 2, and large subunit ribosomal RNA". The record is from RNAcentral.
AACCUUAUGGACCUGCGGGCGUAUACCUGCGGAGGGAUCAUUACCGAGGAUUCUCGGACAGGCACAGCGCCGGUCCGCCUCUCGACACUGUGCGUAUGCAAGUUAUUGAGUUACACGGGAGUAGGACGUGUCUAAACCCCUACUCGAAGCAAACAAAGCAAAAACUUUUAACAACGGAUCU